AGAGUUUGAUCAUGGCUCAGCCUGAACGCUGGCGGCGUGGCUAAGACAUGCAAGUCGCACGGGGUGGAGCAAUCCAUCCAGUGGCGAACGGGUGAGUAAUGAAUCGCUAACGUGCCCCGGACUCCGGGAUAGCCGUCCGAAAGGGCGGGUAAUACCGGAUGACGUACCCCUCAGGCAUCUGCGGGGGUCCCAAAGGUCCGCCGGUCUGGGAGCGGGCGAUUUCGUAUCAGCUAGUUGGUGCGGGUAACGGCCCACCAAGGCGACGACGCGUAGCCGGACCGAGAGGUUGGCCGGCCACAUCGGGACUGAGACACUGCCCGGACUCCUACGGGGGGCUGCAGUAACGAAUCUUCCCCAAUGCACGCAAGUGUGAGGGAGCGACGCCGCGUGUGGGACGAAGUCCUUCGGGAUGUAAACCACUGUCAGGGGACACCAAGUUCUGAGGAUCCCCAGAGGAAGGGGCGGCUAACUCUGUGCCAGCAGCCGCGGUAAGACAGAGGCCCCGAGCGUUAGGCGGAAUCACUGGGCUUAAAGCGUGUGUAGGCGGGUCGUUAAGUACCUUGUGAAAUCCCACGGCUCACCCGUGGAACUGCUGGGUAUACUGGCGAUCUUGGGCCGGUCAGGGGCAGUCGGAACAAGCGGUGGAGCGGUGAAAUGCGUAGAUAUCGCUUGGAACGCCGACGGCGAAAGCAGACUGCUGGGACCGCGCCGACGCUGAGACACGAAAGCCAGGGGAGCAAACGGGAUUAGAUACCCCAGUAGUCC
This 765-nucleotide ribosomal RNA is filed under the name uncultured bacterium. RNAcentral's name for it is "bacterial SSU rRNA". It matches the Rfam family "Bacterial small subunit ribosomal RNA", at positions 8 to 796 of the family's 1533-position model. The record is from RNAcentral.